GAUGAACGCUGGCGGCGUGCCUAAUACAUGCAAGUCGAGCGAACAGAUGAGGAGCUUGCUCCUCUGACGUUAGCGGCGGACGGGUGAGUAACACGUGGAUAACCUACCUAUAAGACUGGGAUAACUUCGGGAAACCGGAGCUAAUACCGGAUAAUAUAUUGAACCGCAUGGUUCAAUAGUGAAAGACGGUUUUGCUGUCACUUAUAGAUGGAUCCGCGCCGCAUUAGCUAGUUGGUAAGGUAACGGGUUACCAAGGCAACGAUGCGUAGCCGACCUGAGAGGGUGAUCGGCCACACUGGAACUGAGACACGGACCAGACUCCUACGGGAGGCAGCAGUAGGGAAUCUUCCGCAAUGGGCGAAAGCCUGACGGAGCAACGCCGCGUGAGUGAUGAAGGUCUUCGGAUCGUAAAACUCUGUUAUUAGGGAAGAACAAAUGUGUAAGUAACUAUGCACGUCUUGACGGUACCUAAUCAGAAAGCAACGGCUAACUACGUG
Molecule: ribosomal RNA, 497 nt
Filed under: uncultured bacterium
Lineage: Bacteria
Description: partial 16S ribosomal RNA
Rfam family: Bacterial small subunit ribosomal RNA
Source: RNAcentral